This is a long non-coding RNA of Diabrotica virgifera virgifera (western corn rootworm), 8346 nucleotides long. RefSeq lists it as uncharacterized. NCBI's taxonomy places the organism in Eukaryota, Metazoa, Arthropoda, Insecta, Coleoptera, Chrysomelidae. The record is from RefSeq and is a predicted model, not a curated record. The transcript is spliced from 3 exons.
CUCAGCCUCUACAAUUUUGUGAGUAAAACAAAACAUCAAAAGUGAUAACGAAUAUUUGACAACGUUUUUAACAGGAGAGGAAAAAACUGUGUGUAUACUGCAGUAAAUAUUUUGGCUUUUUUCAUCACUAGCGGUUGAGGAAAGGUCCUGUAACAACUUAUCUUGUGGCCACCUAACAACACAGGUCAACUUCUUGAAGACACAGUUAUCCUAGAACCUACUAGCACCUAGUCCAGGAGCUAGUAACCAGCUAGUAGCUAGCAUCUAGUAGUAACCAGAGUAACCAUGAUUAGACCACCCACAUACGAGACCGUUAGCAAGAAGAAGAAGUCAUUAUUAACAAUAUAACCUCUAUUUUUAUGUAUGCUAUAUAUCCUAUUCGUUAUAAGUCAAAAUAUAGCUAUACGAGGGUAUUAACUAUUAACAGAGUGAACACAGGGUAUGUUUACUGUACUUAGUUAAUUCUACAGGUAGAUUUACAAGAAGUAGGUAUAAACACUUCAUGGUAUAAAUUGUUCAUUUUAUAUUUGAUAAUAAUAAUAUUAAUAUAGUAUGGUACGGUACAUACCUGAUUCUUGCUUAACGUAGGUACAUUUGACUACCUAUUCAGGAUGUAUUUUAUAUUUAUAUUGUCCAUAUUGCAGGGUAUUAACGGUGUAUAUGUAUGUGAUAAGUUAGGGUUUUUUGUCUUAAGAGGAAACAGUAGCAAUCAACAGGAAGCAAAAACGCGUUCGAAGAUUGCGGCUGUAAUUUUCAAUAUUUUUUAGAGAUAUUUGGCACACGUAUUCGCAAUAUAAUAAAGAAUGGCGGUACAGAGCUCAAUUUGAAAAAUAUAUUAAUAUGUAGAAAUUACUCUGUAAUUAAAUACAAUAUUAAAAAAACGAGCCUGUACCGCCAUUAAGAAGAACAAAAAAAUACACUUUCUUCAAAUAAACUUUUUUAUCGGAUGCCUAGAUUUUGUGUCAUUUUAGAACUACUAAAAUUUUUUAUUUCAUUAGUAGUUCCAAAAUGACACAAAAUCUAGGCACCGGAUAAAAAAGUUUAUUUGAAGAAAGUGUAUUUUUUUGUUCUUCUUAACCCGUUUUCUACUAGCGUAACCGUAUGGUCACACUAAAUGGCCCUUCUUAAAUAUACAACAUUGAACACAUACAGCGAUAUAAGCAACUAGUUACACGACCAUGCAGACUAGAGACAUCUACUUAACGAAUUACAUACUCAAUACCUGAUCUAUUUGCUUGCAAGGUAGUGUUAUAGUUAUUAUUUGGUGGUGUUACAACGAGAAAGAAUCAAAAUGACGUUCGCUUUGAGUAAGUAAUAUUUAAUAAUCUUAUUUUUAAAGAUGCCAAAAAUAUUUUUGGAAAAAUAGGAUCUACAGGAAUUCGUUUAAGACAUAUUUACACAAUUUAUUACAAACGUAUUCUAUCAAUUGUGGCAGAGCUGCUAGUAUUUGAUUGUGACCUUAUGGUCACAUAGGGAUAAUAUGUGAUAAAUUAUAGGUUUUCUUUUUUUUUUCUUUUUAGUUCCGGUUUUAUACUAGAAAAAGCACUGACUAUGUGAUAUGACGACGAAAAUAUAGAAAAUGUGGAACAUCUGUGUUUAGUUUUCCUCCAGAUGUUCAUGAGAGCACGGAUGAAGAUUCCGGAGAUGAAGAUGGUGGUGGUUUAGUUGGCCAUUUGUCUCAUAGUCAAUUAUUGGCAUCAGUUGAAAUUCGAACAAAUUGUAAUGAAACUAUGGAACAAGGAGAGGAAGCCUCUGUGAAUGAACUAAAGACAAAAGAACCUGAUGAAGAGGGGAGUUAAAUAAGAAAAAAAUAAAAAAAGUAGAAUUUCUAAAAAACUGAGAUCAUGCAAUGGAUACAGUGUGAUUUGAUACAUAAUAAAAAAAUUUUAAAACAUGAAUGAGUCUGAAAGUUUUGAAUUUCAUAAUAGAGUCCAUUACAACUCUUCAAAUUAUUUUUUUUAAAGAUAUAUUUGAACAUAUUUUACAAGAAAUAACAAAAUUUGCUACGUUCAAGAAUUCUCCAGUAACUUGCUACGGCAUCAGUCCUCAAAGUUUAGUCAAUAGGCACUCUAAGCAACAGAAGACAAUUAUUCAAGUACAAAGACCUUUGAUUAUUGCAAAAUAUACUACAUUUAUGGGUUGCAUGGAGACUGGAUGGGGAUGUAGCACGAUACAGAAUUGGCAUCAGAAGUAAAGGUGGUAUUGGGCUCUUUUUACUUGGCUUUUAGAUGUAUGCCUACAUAACGCGUGGGUACUUUAUAUUAUAAGUUCUCAAAGGAAAGUUGCGGAAAUAUGGAGUUCCACCUAGUUGUCCUGGUAAGCCUGCAGUAAGCAGGAAUGUCUGUCAAUGAAUAGAGAGUCCGAGAAUCUUCGAUAUGACAAAAUUGAACAUAUUGUUGUUCCAGUCUCUAACGGUAAAAGACGCAGGUGUGCUGGAGAAAGGUGUUCAUCUAUGAUACACAUGGUAAAAAAUGUGAUUUAGGUCUUUGCAUUGAGUGUUUUGACAUAUUUCAUACACAGGAGCAAAUACGUAAUGUAUAUAGGUAAUCUACCUGUGUGACCAUAUGGUCACAGCAUUUUUUCUUAUGUUUAUAAAAAAAAAUUAAUAAAAACAUAUUUUUACGUUUAUUUAGAUUCAUUCCAUUGUCAUCUGCAGUUAUAUUUAUGAAAAAAACAUAUUUAUCGAUAUUCUGGUAGAAAAUGGGUUAAUGGCGGUACAGGCUCGGUUUUUUAAUAUUGUAUUUAAUUACAAAGUAAUUUCCACAUAUUCAUAUAUUUUUCAAAUUGAGCUCUGUACCGCCAUUCUUUAUUAUAUUACGAAUACGUGUGCCAAAUAUCUCGAACAAAUAUUCAAAAUUACAGCCGCAAUCUUGGAACGCGUUUUCGCUACCUGUUGAUCGCUACUGUUUCACCUUAAUAUUUAAUAGUCGAACAGUUCAAUAGUCAAUGCAUUUUUCAUAUAUUUGAUACAAUUUCUUCAUUUUGCUUUAUUUUAUGUUUUUAUUUUAAGUUCAAUAAAUAUUUGUAGCUAUAAAUGCUCAGAAUCAUCAAGAAGCCGUCUUCUGCUAUCACAAUAAAUCCCUGAGAUGAGAUAAAGAGAGAUUAACUGUAUUUUGUAUUUUACAUUAUAAAAUAUUUUAAUAUUGAAGUACGGUAUGGGGCAAAAUAAAUACAGUCAAACCCGCUUAUUAGAGUACCGCUUAUAGGAAUAUCCCGGUUUAUGGAAUAAAAAUUCGAGGUCCCGAAACCUUUUCAUUUACUCAUUAAUAAAUUUAUCCGUUUAUUGGAAUAUGAUUUAGUAAGAUAGUACCGCUUUAUAGAAUAUUCUUCAUGUCAACGAAUUAAUUUUUACCUACAAUUUCCCAAAAAUUUAAAUUAUGUCUGGUAUCAUGGAUUGUCGACAAAGGCCUCGAAAGCAUAAUAUAGUGCUGUUUAAAUUUUUAGGGUUUGUCAAGUAAUACACUUUAUUACUUUAUUACUUUGUUAUGAGUACGAAUUCAAUCGUUCGCCGACACAGCUAAUAAAAUAAUUUCAUUUGUCUGAAAAUUUCUUUACAUAGUGCCACCCAUUAUAAAAACAUUUUUAGAAACAAGCUUAUCGGCUAUCCUAACCGCUCGUAGGUAAGAAGUUCUCUGGAGGGUCAAUCCAAUGGAAAUUUUUCUAAUUUUAUAAUUUAGAGCAACAAUUGAUUAGUAGUUUAUGUAACAAAAAAAAAACAAGUACAAUUACCUAUUAUUUUUCAAGACAAAAUAAGUAACUCUUUCAUAUGUAUUUUAAUAAGAAAAUAUUUACACAUCUAUAUUGUAUACAUUUCAUAUUAUUCCUGUAUGCAUCCACAUUAUAAUGCAAUUUGGUUUUUAAUAAAUAAGUACCUAAUAGUUACACUACUGUAUUAUUGACAUAAAAAGACCUAAAACCAUAUACAUAUUAUACAUGUUAACAUAGUAUGUACCUACUAUCAUUACGUAUAUUCGGUACAUUUAUUUCGGCUAGCCACCAACGAUCGGUUAUUAGAAUAUCUACGAAGGCUAUUCCAAUAAGCGGGUUUGACUGUAGUACUGAAUUUCGUAUGCCUCAAAUUUGUAUGUUUUAGGGGCCGGAACGUGCUGAGUGGCUUCCGAACGUCGUUAUAACGAAUGUGAAUGUCGUGAUAAUGUUAGGUGCUUCAGAAUGGUCCUCAGUUUUGCAGAAAAAUAUUUUAUGAUGGAGUACUAUUUUCAGUCAUACGGAAAAUGUCACGAAAACGGUCCAAGCUUAAAAUCAACAAUUGUUUCAGCAGAACGGAACAACCUCUCACACUCCCAGGGAGUCUGUUCGAAUACUGCGCGAUCAUUUUGGGAGUUGCCACUCACCAAAACUAACGCCACCAGAUGCGUACAUAUGGGGAAUGCUGAAGGAGUCAGACAUAUUCACUGUCUGCCAUUUCGGAAUUGCGGACCAGCAUUAAAGAUUUUUUUGUGCCAGUGGCAGUGGCGGAUCUAGAAAUUUGCCUUGGGAAGGGAAAUUUGUCUUAGGGGGGAACUUCCAACGAAAAACCAAACAAACCAAAACACAUAAAUAAUAACUUAUAGGCAUUAGGUUCCCUUAAUUUUUCUAACUAGCGUGUUUAUUGGGUUUAAUUUGUCUUUCUGUGGUUUCGGUUUCAUAUCAGCCGAUAUAUUUUUAUGUUUGAACAAAUUUUUCCUUUAAUUUUGGACCUUGUUAGGGGGAAAAUUUCCUCAUUUUCCCUCUCCGUAGAUCGGCCACUAGCCAGAGGGCAUCUUUAACAUCUGUUUUAUCGGAAACGUGCGUCGUCGUGAAUAAUGUAUAUUAAAUAUAAUAAAUAAUCAUAAACAUUUCAAUAUUCAUUUCAGUACUGUUUAUUUUGCCGCAUACUGUAAUUCAAUAAAUAAUAUAGUUUUUCUAAGGAUGCUAUACAAUGUGAAACUUCUCUCACUACUUACAUACAUUCAAAACGAACAAUUUCUCAGGCUGUGAGAAAAGUCGGCCAUUGCAGUGAGAAAUAUUUUUUCUCAUGGGUUCCAUACGUAGAAUCGCGGUUUCCAUGGUAACAUGCACAAUACAAACACAAAUAUUUUUGUCAAAUAAAAUGUGUCAAAUCAAAACUUACCAGGAAUUACCUUUCAAACCUGUUUAAAUAUAGCUGGUAACUAUAAUUUUAAUUAAAUAAAAGUAUAUAAAUAUUAAGAAUAUUAAAUACCUACAAUAUGUGUAUUGAAGUUUGAACUCUUGACAAAAACGCAUCCAUAGAAAAAGUACAGUGUACAACACGUGAGAAAACGACAUAUUUCUCCCUCUCUUGAUUUGCGGCAAUCGCCUCGUACCUCGGCUCGGGCCAACAAACUUCUGCCCUCGUGAAAAAUAUGUCUUUUUUCUCUCUUGUUGUACAAUAUACUAUUUUCACUUUAUUUAUUCAGUAUCAUCUCCCGAUCUUUAUUUUUUUGUAACAAGGUUUGAUAUUUGAAAUUUGUAGUAUGAGAUAUUACAAAAAGACUCUCAUUUAGACAUUCGUCAAUUUUUUACUGAAACAAGUGUUAAAUAAACAAUAAAAAUGUCAAGUUUAGUUUUUUCUCAUAACUUACACGUUUUUUUUAUUCCUUUUUCACAUGUUAUUAGUAUACAUCUUACCGAAGAAAAUAAGCCCAGGAUUAUUGAGAUCCAUUCUCAGCUAACUUUUCAAAAAAAAUUAAAACAAUUUAAAUUUUACAAAAACUAUUCAACAGGUCUGGCUCAAUUUUUGCACACUAUUCAGGCACAAUAAUACCCUUUAGUUCAGGUAUAUUUAAUAGCUAUUUAACCAAGAAGUAUAUUAAUAAGGGCGAUUAACAAUUGAAAUAUUUUAACACAUGAGCGGGGCGAGCGCGUUAAUCUUCUAGAUUGUUAAUCGCCAUUUUAAUUCAUGAGUUCGUUACAAUACUUUUCCGUCGACUGUACUUUUCAGAAAUAAAGAUAUCUUAGUUUAAAUUUUUAUUUACUUAACGAUAAACAACAAUUUGAGACAAACAAUGACAGAUGGUCUAACAGCGGCUACUUGAUUUUUAGUGGGAAUAUAAAUAGGUAUAUGUUUGGUUGCCUACACCACAGGUCACUGCCAAUCACACAGCGUUUAAUUAAUUUAUGUAAGCAAUGUAUGUUGUGCUGCCUAUAAUUAAAUCGUUCAUUAAUAGAAAAUCAUUCAUUUAUAGGGGUCAUUAAUAAAUGAUUUUGAGGGUGUUAAAAUUGAUCAUAAAUGGACGGUCGACGGAAAACAAAAUUUAAUAAAUAAUGCAAUAGUUAUUAACAAUACUCGAGAACAGCGAUUUUGUCGUUCGUUUUGCAAUAACUUUUUUGUUUAUCCACCCAUUUUACUUUAGCGUCUCAUUUUUUCCAUCUUUUUUUCUGAAAUAGUUUAUUAUUUUAUGCGUCUACUCUACAGGAAUAGUUUCUGAUUAUUUAUAUAAAAUAUUCUAAUAGUUUUAAUGUAAAAAAUAACAGUCAUUUGGCAAAAACAUUUUUGGCAAAAAAAAUAUUUUUUACUUUCUUUGGUACAUGUUAAAAGAAAAAGUUUUACCUUUCAUAUGGUACCAGUAAAAUAACCAUAUGUGCAUUGAUUAACGAUUUAAAUAUCUUCCUAAUUUAUUAGUUAUUAAUGGAAUGUAAUUAAUUGUAUUAACGGAACAAGCUGAAAUUUUCAGAAGUUUUUAAGCACUAUAAGUCCACACUAAAAUAAAGAGUAACUUAAUUUUUAAAAAAGAAAUAAACAAUUACCGAUUUUACAGUCUUUUGCUGUUUUUGUAGCAAAAAACUAAGUUUCAAAAUUUUGAAAAUUUUUGUGAAAGAGGGGUAAUGGUUCACAUAGAACUUGUAAUGGCAUCUGAUUUUACUUCAGAAUUAAUAGGUCCAUAUAUCACAAAACAAGAAGUAUUGCACGCAUCAAAAACAAUGAAGAGCUAACCUGACAAUCUUCCUAUCGAAACACUAAAAAUUAUGGAUAAGAGGUAGAUUCAUGUUUUACUGACACCCUUGAACCAAAUUUAUAGCUCAGGCGUAUUGGUUAACUAAAGGUUAACAUAUCAGUUUAUAGCAACUAAAAAUUGGUUAACGUCGAUCUGUAUUUGUCUUUCCGUGUUCUCUACUAAAAGUCAUCCAUAAUCGAAUAUAUCAUAAACUGGAUAUAGAUAUGAUUGAUAAUGUCGAUCAAGAUCUAUGUAUAUGUAUGCAUGUUAUAUUGACUAUAACAAAGCAUUCGAUAAAGUACGACAUGAACAAUUAAUGAAUGUCCUGAUAUCAAAGAAGUUAGUCUACAUUGAACCCAAGAUCAUAUCGUAUGCUAAAUGUUAACGAGCAGCUCUCAGAGUAAGUCGAAAUUAGACGUGGGGAGAGGCAGGAAUGCGUUUUGUAGCCAAUUAUUUUUAUGCCAAUUCGGAAGAGAUUAAAAAAAAUUCUUGAGGGUGAAACAGCUGGAAUACAGGUAAAUGGAGUUCCUAUUAACAACAUUAGAUAUGCGGAUGAUGCUGUCAACUUACCUAAAAAAUUAAAGAUAUGCCUAGAUUGUUGACAAGAAUAAGGGAAUUAUGGAAAAGACUACGGUCUAAAAAUGAACGUUAAGAAGACUAAAUUCAUCAGAAUAUCGAAAAUUCGAAAUGAUAAUAUUUUACUAAAAGAACAAAUAUCGAACGAGUGUGCAAAUAUGCAUCUUAGAACAAUGAUUAACUCCCAAAAAAGUUUCUUCCAAGAAAUCAAAAUCUUUGUCUUGAAACAAUAAUUAACUCCGCAAAUGAUUAUUUCCAGGAAAUCAAAAUCGGAACAGAAAACGCCAGAGCAAAUUUGAACAAAUUGAGAACAGUGCUCGGUACAAGAGAUUUCAAGUUGGAGCUAAAAGUUAGGUCGGUAGAGGACAAAUAAACAAGCCUCAGUCAUGUCCGGAUGUUUGAGAGAUGUGGUCUGGAGUACAACACCUUUUAAAUGCCAUUGACACAGUGGGAAGAGAGUUUGGCCUAAAUAAAAACUGUUCAAAAACAAAAUACAUGGUAUUUAGCCGUUUGGCCCAUGAAGAUUCACGGUUAUAUGUUGAUGGUCAUAUAAUUCAAAGAGUACCCAGUUUUAAAUAUCUUGGUUGCCAUAUUACUGAACAACUAGAUCCAGAUAAAGAGAUAAAAUGUAGAAUCGAGAUAGCCCGCACGACAUUUUUAAAAAUGAGGUCAUUCUUCUGUAAUGAUACCUUGCAACUUCAACUUCGAAAGCGCAUGAUUAAAUGCUACAUUUGGUCAGUCCUCUUGUAUGGUGUCGAAGCAUGGACAUUAAAAAUAUCCACCAUUAACCGUUUGGAGGCCUUUGAAAUGUGGCUUCACAGACGUAUUCUGAAAA